AACGAACGCUGGCGGCAUGCCUAACACAUGCAAGUCGAACGAGACCUUUGGGUCUAGUGGCGCACGGGUGCGUAACGCGUGGGAAUCUGCCCUUGGGUUCGGAAUAACAGUGAGAAAUUGCUGCUAAUACCGGAUGAUGUCUUCGGACCAAAGAUUUAUCGCCCAGGGAUGAGCCCGCGUAGGAUUAGCUAGUUGGUGGGGUAAUGGCCUACCAAGGCGACGAUCCUUAGCUGGUCUGAGAGGAUGAUCAGCCACACUGGGACUGAGACACGGCCCAGACUCCUACGGGAGGCAGCAGUGGGGAAUAUUUGACAAUGGGCGCAAGCCUGAUCCAGCAAUGCCGCGUGAGUGAUGAAGGCCUUAGGGUUGUAAAGCUCUUUUACCAGGGAUGAUAAUGACAGUACCUGGAGAAUAAGCUCCGGCUAACUCCGUG
Molecule: ribosomal RNA, 433 nt
Filed under: uncultured bacterium
Lineage: Bacteria
Description: partial 16S ribosomal RNA
Rfam family: Bacterial small subunit ribosomal RNA
Source: RNAcentral